CAGGGAAUCUUGCACAAUGGGCGAAAGCCUGAUGCAGCGACGCCGCGUGGGGGAUGAAGGCCUUAGGGUCGUAAACCCCUUUCAGCAGGGACGAAAAUGACGGUACCUGCAGAAGAAGCCCCGGCCAACUACGUGCCAGCAGCCGCGGUAAGACGUAGGGGGCGAGCGUUGUCCGGAUUUAUUGGGCGUAAAGAGCUCGUAGGCGGUUGCGUAAGUCGGAUGUGAAAACUCAGGGCUCAACCCUGAGACGCCAUCCGAUACUGCGCUGACUUGAAUCCAGUAGGGGAGUGUGGAAUUCCUGGUGUAGCGGUGAAAUGCGCAGAUAUCAGGAGGAACACCCAUGGCGAAGGCAGCACUCUGGGCUGGUAUUGACGCUGAGGAGCGAAAGCAUGGGUAGCGAACAGGAUUAGAU
This 412-nucleotide ribosomal RNA is filed under the name uncultured bacterium. Its description in RNAcentral is "bacterial SSU rRNA". It matches the Rfam family "Bacterial small subunit ribosomal RNA", at positions 355 to 783 of the family's 1533-position model. The record is from RNAcentral.